Molecule: unclassified non-coding RNA, 263 nt
Filed under: uncultured fungus
Lineage: Eukaryota; Fungi
Description: partial contains 5.8S ribosomal RNA, internal transcribed spacer 2, and large subunit ribosomal RNA
Source: RNAcentral
AACGCACAUUGCGCCCGCCGGUAUUCUGGCGGGCAUGCCUGUUCGAGCGUCAUUUCAACCCCUCAUGCCCCUCUCGGGGCGUGGCGUUGGGGACCGGCCCCGCCACAGCGGCGGCCGCCCCCGAAAUCCAGUGGCGGCCACGCCGCGGCUCCCUCUGCGCAGUAGCAAUCGCCUCGCAGCCUGGGACGCGGCGCGGCCACGCCUCGACUCAAAAUCAUCUCGUGGUUGACCUCGGAUCAGGUAGGAAUACCCGCUGAACUUAA